RNAcentral lists this small nuclear RNA (18 nucleotides) under Arabidopsis thaliana (thale cress). RNAcentral describes it as "snRNA_12984". Lineage: Eukaryota; Viridiplantae; Streptophyta; Magnoliopsida; Brassicales; Brassicaceae. The record is from RNAcentral.
UGGAUCCUUCUGAGCCUU